Paramuricea clavata is the source of this 2264-nucleotide non-coding RNA. Lineage: Eukaryota; Metazoa; Cnidaria; Anthozoa; Malacalcyonacea; Plexauridae. The record is from the annotation of a GenBank genome assembly.
UAUUGUUACCAGAGAAGUACCAGGCGGGAAACGAAUUCUGAUAAUAAAUAUUAAUGCCCAGCAAAGUGCUUUUAAAAGAGCCAUAAACCAUUAAAUUUAAAAAUUUUAUUAAAGAUUAAGUAACGUUUCGUCUUAACUCAAGACAUCUUCAGACUAUAUUAAAUUACAAGCUGUAAGAGUAAUUAAGCAUAAAGUAAAGCUAUUAUAGCAAUAUUAAAUUACAAGCGAAUACGAGGUACACAAAACGUAAGGAUAAGAAUGGAUAAUGAAGGGAAGUGACGGACAAAAAUGAGAACAACCAAAUUAGACAACACAAACAGACAAAACAUAAAAAAAAAGAAAAAAAAAGAGAUCAGAAUACGUGAAGAGGGAUUGAACUGCCUUGAACGUUGAGAGAGGGUUUCAUUUUAGAGAUAAAAAAGCUUUCAUGAAUAAGGAGUUCUUGUUCAUCUGAACAAGAGGAGAGGAUUUCGAAGUCGUCAAUAGAAGCAGCGUGGCCUGUGGAUGUGAGAUGUGAGAAAAUGCUGGACUGGGGAGGAUUUUUACAUUGUUUGCCAGUGAUAGGAGUGAUACCCAGAUGUUCCGAAACUCGGGUGUGUAGAUGGCGCGUGGUUUGACCCACAUACGAUGCGGAACAGCAUCGACACGUAAAAGAGUACACUACACCCGACUUCAGUGCUUUGGGUAUUUUGUCCUUAAAAGAGAAAAAGGUUGAGAGCCGUUUAGUUGAUCGAAAGACAAAUCUUAUAUCAAGAUGUGGGAAAGCAGCACGACAAAGACGGUUGAUUUGCGUGCGAAUUUGCAAGGAGUGAGUGCCCGUAAAAGGGAGACAGAAAUAAAUUAUUUUCUUAGGAACAGUAUGAACAGGUAGCUUAGGUUGAAAUACUUUGUUAAGAAAAGUUCUAACACAUCGGUCGAACAUAUGAGAAGGGAAACCAUUUAAGAUAAACAUUCUACGUGCUGCUUCAAGUUGGUGAUGGAAAGUCUCAUAGCUAGAACAAAUGCUAAAGAUGCGGUGUAUUAAGCAAGAUAUUAUGCUGCGUUUGUAUGUAAGUGGAAUGAAGCUAUGGAAGUUAGUAAAAAGACCAGUAAACGUAGGUUUACGGUAAACAGAAGUAGAAAAUUUUCCAUUGGAGCGGGAUAUGUCAAUGUCAAGAAAUGGGAGCUUACCAUCACGUUCAACCUCACUAGUGAAGCGAAUGUUGGUGUGCUGGCGAUUAAGAUAUGUGAGAAAGAGCUGUACAUGCUCUGAGCAACGGAAAAGUAGGAAACAAUCGUCAACAUAUCGUCUAUAGAGAAGUGGUUUGAAAGACGAAGGACAGUUGUGAAGCCAAUCCUUUUCGUGAAAGGACAUAAAUAUGUUAGCAAACAAAGGUCCUAAAGGACUACCCAUAGCUACGCCGUCAACUUGAUGAUAUAAACGACCAUUGAACACGAAAUGACAAUUUUUGACAGAAAGACUUAAGAGUUUAGUAAAAUCAGAACGAGUGAGGCCAUGAAAUCUACAACAGUUAGAAAACAAACGAUUAGUAAUUAUCUCAAUCGUUUCAUCAACAGGGAUGUUAGUAAAGAGUGAAGUAACAUCAAAACUAGCCAUUAUAACAUUACUCGUAUCAAGAUCAGAAGAAAGAAGUUCCUGGACGAAAGAGAAGGAAUCCUUAAUGACAUAAGUGCUGGUCGAGAUGGGAGUGAGAAGAGGAAUAAAGAAUUUAGCAAUAUUAUACGAAUAAUGAUUAAUGCAAGAAAGGAUAGGCCUAAGUGGGAUAUUACAUUUAUGUGUUUUAGGUAGUCCAUACAGGAUGCCUAAGCGUGAACCUGUAGGAUACAGUUCAUUGUAAGUUUUUUGAUCAAUUGAUUCAGACGCUUUCAGAUUUUUCAGCAGAGUCUUGACAUGAUUUUCGCGCUGUAGUGUUGCUUUGACAGGAUCUUCAUUCAAGAGUUCAAAUUUCGUGUUAUCAGACAGGAUUUCCUCCAUUUUUUUGUUGUAAUCAUCUUUGUUUAGAAUAACAACGCCGUUACCUUUAUCAGGUCUCAUUAUCACGAUGUUACUGUCUUUUCGUAAGUCAUUUAGCAUGUUGAUCUCUUCUUUCGAGUAUAAGAAAUUCGGCCGACUAUAGCUCCGGAAACCAGAAUGAGCUAUGUCUUUUAUUCGGGUCUUAAUAAAUGCCGGGUAAAAUCCAGAAUGUUCAUAAACCGGUUCUCGUUUAAGUUGAGAGAACAGUCUUUCAAAUGGCGCAAAGAAACCGCACGGAUUAAGCUUGGCA